GAGACACAUUCCAGCCAAUCAGCAGCAGACCCUCCCUCCCAGACCCUCCCACCUCCUGGACAGCUCACUAAGAAUGCAGCUUCACAAUGAAUGUAAAAUGGAUGCUGUCCAGGAGGUGGGAGAGUCUGGGAGGGAGGGUCUUCUGCUGAUUGGCUGGAAUGUGUCUG
Molecule: non-coding RNA, 167 nt
Organism: Pelobates cultripes (western spadefoot toad)
Lineage: Eukaryota; Metazoa; Chordata; Amphibia; Anura; Pelobatidae
Source: the annotation of a GenBank genome assembly